AUCUAAGUAGUUUAAUUAAAAAAAAUAUUAACUUGUGGCGUUGAAGAUAAAAUAUUUCUUAGAUU
RNAcentral lists this transfer RNA (65 nucleotides) under Pseudacysta perseae. RNAcentral describes it as "tRNA-His". The record is from RNAcentral. Lineage: Eukaryota; Metazoa; Arthropoda; Insecta; Hemiptera; Tingidae.